GCCUUAGUAAUAUAAUUAUUAUACUGGUCUUGUAAACCAGAGAUGGAGACCCAAAUCUCCCUAAGACA
RNAcentral lists this transfer RNA (68 nucleotides) under Cryptotis parvus (least shrew). RNAcentral's name for it is "tRNA-Thr". It matches the Rfam family "tRNA". From Rfam's summary of the family: Transfer RNA (tRNA) molecules are approximately 80 nucleotides in length. Their secondary structure includes four short double-helical elements and three loops (D, anti-codon, and T loops). Further hydrogen bonds mediate the characteristic L-shaped molecular structure. tRNAs have two regions of fundamental functional importance: the anti-codon, which is responsible for specific mRNA codon recognition, and the 3' end, to which the tRNAs corresponding amino acid is attached (by aminoacyl-tRNA synthetases). tRNAs cope with the degeneracy of the genetic code in two manners: having more than one tRNA (with a specific anti-codon) for a particular amino acid; and 'wobble' base-pairing, i.e. permitting non-standard base-pairing at the 3rd anti-codon position. Lineage: Eukaryota; Metazoa; Chordata; Mammalia; Eulipotyphla; Soricidae. The record is from RNAcentral.